RNAcentral lists this ribosomal RNA (374 nucleotides) under uncultured bacterium. RNAcentral describes it as "bacterial SSU rRNA". It matches the Rfam family "Bacterial small subunit ribosomal RNA", at positions 527 to 898 of the family's 1533-position model. The record is from RNAcentral.
GUAGGGGACAAGCGUUAUCCGGAUUUACUGGGCGUAAAGCGCCCGUAGGCGGCCUGCCAAGUUGGAUGUGAAAGCUCCUGGCUUAACUGGGAGAGGUCAUUCAAAACUGGCCGGCUAGAGGAUGGAAGAGGAGAGCGGAAUUCCCGGUGUAGUGGUGGAAUGCGUAGAGAUCGGGAGGAACACCAGUGGCGAAAGCGGCUCUCUGGUCCGUACCUGACGCUGAGGGGCGAAAGCGUGGGGAGCGAACGGGAUUAGAUACCCCGGUAGUCCACGCUGUAAACGAUGGAUACUAGGUGUAGGCGGUCAUUAACCCCGUCUGUGCCGCAGCCAACGCGUUAAGUAUCCCGCCUGGGGAGUACGGCCGCAAGGUUAAA